AUGAGACUCAGAAAGGGGAAAUUCUCGCGUUUAAAGUCCAGCAGGUGGAAGGUCAGGGCUGGGACACCUGGGUCCCUCGGCAGUGUCUGGAGACAUGAUGGGGACCGGAGGGAGCCUCGGGGCCUGGGGGAGCCUGGUGCUGCUGGUGAGUGCUCCCAAACAGGGGUGGGGAGCUGGGGUCCUGAGGGAGUAGGAGCUUCCCAGAGAAGGAAACAGGCUUCCGGCUUGUCAGUGAGCCUCACACCUAGGUUCUCAGAUACUGCCGUCCACUGUGAGAGUGAACUGUGCUUUCUGGCAAGACUCAGGCGUGCCCUCGAAGACCCAGGAGUCUGGGCCCCAGGCCUCCUCCCUCAGACCCAGGAGUCCGGGCCCCAGACCCUCCUCCCUCAGACCCAGGGGUCCCAGCCCCAGGCCCUCCUCCCUCAGACCAGGAGUCCAGACCCCCAGCCCCUCCUCCUCAGACCCAGGAGUCCCGGCCCCAGGCCUCCUCCCUCAGACCCAGGAGUCCAGACCCCCAGCCCCCUCCUCCCUCAGAUCCUGGAGUUCUGCCCCCAGCCCCUCCUCCCUCAGACCCAGGAGUCCAGACUCCAGCCCCUCCUCCCUCAGACCCAGGAAUCAGGCCCCCGCCCCCUCCUCCCUCAGACCCUGUGGUCCAGGCUCCCAGUGCCCUCCUCCCUCAAGACACAGGAGUCCAGACUCCAGCCCCUCCUCCCUCAGACCCAGGAGUCCUGGCCCCCGGCCCCUCCUCCCUCAGACCCAGGAGUCCAGACUCCAGCCCCUCCUCCCUCAGACCCGGGAGUCCAGACCCCCAGCCCCUCCUCCCUCAGGCCCAGGAGUCUUGGCUCCAGGUCCUCCUCCCUCAGACCCAGGAGUCCUGCCCCCAGUCCAUUCCUCCCUCAGAUCCUGGAGUUCUGCCCCCAACCCACUCCUCCCUCAGAUCCUGGAGUUCUGCCCCCAGCCCCCUCCUCCCUCAGAUCCUGGAGUUCUGUCCCCAGCCCCUCCUCCCUCAGACCCAGAGGUCCAGGCUCCCAGUGCCCUCCUCCCUCAGACCCAGGAGUCCCGGCCCCAGCCCCUCUUCCCUCAGACCCAGGAGUCCCGGCCCCAGCCCCUCUUCCCUCAGACCCAGGAGUCCAGGCCUCCGGCCCCUCCUCCCUCAGACCCAGGAGUCCAGACCCCCAGCCCCUCCUCCCUCAGACCCAGGAAUCAGGCCCCCAGCCCCCUCCUCCCUCAGACCCAGGGGUCCAGGCCCCCGGCCCCUCCUCCCUCAGACCAGGUGUCUGGCUCCUGGUCCCCAACCUCAGUAUCUUCCCCCAUUACCACUUUGCUGAUUAA
RNAcentral lists this long non-coding RNA (1332 nucleotides) under Felis catus (domestic cat). RNAcentral describes it as "lncRNA (ENSFCAG00000051092.1)". Lineage: Eukaryota; Metazoa; Chordata; Mammalia; Carnivora; Felidae. The record is from RNAcentral.